Molecule: long non-coding RNA, 898 nt
Filed under: Cyanistes caeruleus (blue tit)
Lineage: Eukaryota; Metazoa; Chordata; Aves; Passeriformes; Paridae
Description: lncRNA (ENSCCEG00000009156.1)
Source: RNAcentral
UUUGUCAGCCUGUUGUCACCAGCAGCUCAGGGGUUUGGCUGCAUUCCCAACUGCUAUUAGAGGAUCAAAUAACAGCAAGUGUCCAAAACAACCUUCUCCCACCUUCCCUGGAAUAUGAGGCUCUGACAGCACAUGUACCUGGCUGCUGUGCUUUUGUCACCUGAGGGUUGAUUUGUCACAGUACCAUUUGUAUUCAUUCAGGAACAGCCUAGUCCAGAAAGAAUAACUGAAGUUUAGCAGGCAGAUUUUGGUAUUAAAGCGAGGCUUUAAAGGGCUGUUAAUAUUUUCUGUGUAUGUAUGAGGUAAAAGUGAAUACCUGUACAUUUGUGUGAACUGCUCUGAGUAACCAGAGGGAAUUUCAUCUUUGAAAUGGACUGAGAGGGUGUUCAUGCCCAUCUGAAUUGUCCCAAGCAGAAGGAUUCAAGCUCUGCAUUAUUUCUCUCACAGUGCAGUGACAAUGUGUGGAGAUUUUCCACGACCAUAAGACAGCAAGCCAUAAAGAGGUGAGAGCACAAGUAAAGGAAACCUCCUGACCUGUCCAUCAACAACAACACUUGGCUCACAGAACACUGCACAGUGUCUCUUGUCUUUUCCUUUUUCAGAGGCAAUUCCAGAACUCAGCACUCCAGACUGUCAGCCUGGUCAUUCACUGCCUGAAUGUAUCCAUGUCUCUCUUGUCUUGGGACUGCUUUUUCCACCCCUGAUGUUUAUCUUCCCAAAGUGUUUGUAGCAGGAUGUAUCAGAUGUAUCUUUGAGGAACUCUUGAGAUGUGCUUCAAAAAUGGUUUGCAGAAUCUAGGUGAACUUCAGAACUUCAUCAAAAGUGGUCAGAUUUACUACCCCAGGGUACUUUGCAAAAAUACUUUGUGAUCUAAUCAAUAAAUAAUAUUUGUAAAACA